RNAcentral lists this ribosomal RNA (90 nucleotides) under Metabacillus niabensis. Lineage: Bacteria; Bacillati; Bacillota; Bacilli; Caryophanales; Bacillaceae. The record is from RNAcentral.
ACCCGUUCCCAUGCCGAACACGGAAGUUAAGCUCUUCAGCGCCGAUGGUAGUUGGGGGACUCCCCCUGUGAGAGUAGGACGUUGCCAGGU